UACGUAGGGGGCAAGCGUUGUCCGGAAUCAUUGGGCGUAAAGAGCGCGUAGGCGGCCCAGUAAGUCCGCUCUGAAAGUCAGGGGCUCAACCCCUGGAUGCGGGUGGAUACUGCUGGGCUAGAGUCCGGAAGAGGCGAGUGGAAUUCCUGGUGUAGCGGUGAAAUGCGCAGAUAUCAGGAAGAACACCCGUGGCGAAGGCGGCUCUCUGGUACGUGACUGACGCUGAGACGCGAAAGCGUGGGGAGCAAACAGG
RNAcentral lists this ribosomal RNA (253 nucleotides) under uncultured bacterium. Its description in RNAcentral is "partial 16S ribosomal RNA". It matches the Rfam family "Bacterial small subunit ribosomal RNA", at positions 524 to 776 of the family's 1533-position model. The record is from RNAcentral.